GUAGGGAAUCUUGCGCAAUGGGCGAAAGCCUGACGCAGCCAUGCCGCGUGAAUGAUGAAGGUCUUAGGAUUGUAAAAUUCUUUCACCGGGGACGAUAAUGACGGUACCCGGAGAAGAAGCCCCGGCUAACUUCGUGCCAGCAGCCGCGGUAAUACGAAGGGGGCUAGCGUUGCUCGGAAUUACUGGGCGUAAAGGGCGCGUAGGCGGACAGCUUAGUCAGAGGUGAAAGCCCAUGGCUCAACCUUGGAAUUGCCUUUGAUACUGGCUGUCUUGAGUUUGGGAGAGGUGAGUGGAACUCCGAGUGUAGAGGUGAAAUUCGUAGAUAGUCGGAAGAACACCAGUGGCGAAGGCGACUCACUGGCCCAAUACUGACGCUGAGGCGCGAAAGCGUGGGGAGCAAACAGGAUUAGAUACCCUAGUAGUCC
RNAcentral lists this ribosomal RNA (425 nucleotides) under uncultured bacterium. Its description in RNAcentral is "partial 16S ribosomal RNA". It matches the Rfam family "Bacterial small subunit ribosomal RNA", at positions 354 to 796 of the family's 1533-position model. The record is from RNAcentral.